This 459-nucleotide ribosomal RNA is filed under the name uncultured bacterium. RNAcentral's name for it is "partial 16S ribosomal RNA". It matches the Rfam family "Bacterial small subunit ribosomal RNA", at positions 338 to 795 of the family's 1533-position model. The record is from RNAcentral.
CCUACGGGUGGCAGCAGUGAGGAAUAUUGGUCAAUGGUCGGGAGACUGAACCAGCCAAGCCGCGUGAGGGAUGAAGGUACAGAGUAUCGUAAACCUCUUUUGUCAGGGAACAAAGGCGGGGACGUGUCCCCGGAUGAGUGUACCUGAAGAAAAAGCAUCGGCUAACUCCGUGCCAGCAGCCGCGGUAAUACGGGGGAUGCGAGCGUUAUCCGGAUUUAUUGGGUUUAAAGGGUUCGCAGGCGGUCUGUUAAGUCCGCGGUAAAAGCCCGGGGCUCAACCCCGGCCCGCCGUUGAAACUGGCAGUCUCGAGUUGGAGAGAAGUAUGCGGAAUGCGCGGUGUAGCGGUGAAAUGCAUAGAUAUCGCGCAGAACUCCGAUUGCGAAGGCAGCAUGCCGGCUCCACACUGACGCUGAGGCACGAAAGCGUGGGUAUCGAACAGGAUUAGAUACCCCAGUAGUC